This 1555-nucleotide ribosomal RNA is filed under the name Salmonella enterica subsp. enterica serovar Paratyphi A. RNAcentral describes it as "bacterial SSU rRNA". It matches the Rfam family "Bacterial small subunit ribosomal RNA". The record is from RNAcentral. Lineage: Bacteria; Pseudomonadati; Pseudomonadota; Gammaproteobacteria; Enterobacterales; Enterobacteriaceae.
UUAAAUUGAAGAGUUUGAUCAUGGCUCAGAUUGAACGCUGGCGGCAGGCCUAACACAUGCAAGUCGAACGGUAACAGGAAGCAGCUUGCUGCUUUGCUGACGAGUGGCGGACGGGUGAGUAAUGUCUGGGAAACUGCCUGAUGGAGGGGGAUAACUACUGGAAACGGUGGCUAAUACCGCAUAACGUCGCAAGACCAAAGAGGGGGACCUUCGGGCCUCUUGCCAUCAGAUGUGCCCAGAUGGGAUUAGCUUGUUGGUGAGGUAACGGCUCACCAAGGCGACGAUCCCUAGCUGGUCUGAGAGGAUGACCAGCCACACUGGAACUGAGACACGGUCCAGACUCCUACGGGAGGCAGCAGUGGGGAAUAUUGCACAAUGGGCGCAAGCCUGAUGCAGCCAUGCCGCGUGUAUGAAGAAGGCCUUCGGGUUGUAAAGUACUUUCAGCGGGGAGGAAGGUGUUGUGGUUAAUAACCGCAGCAAUUGACGUUACCCGCAGAAGAAGCACCGGCUAACUCCGUGCCAGCAGCCGCGGUAAUACGGAGGGUGCAAGCGUUAAUCGGAAUUACUGGGCGUAAAGCGCACGCAGGCGGUCUGUCAAGUCGGAUGUGAAAUCCCCGGGCUCAACCUGGGAACUGCAUUCGAAACUGGCAGGCUUGAGUCUUGUAGAGGGGGUAGAAUUCCAGGUGUAGCGGUGAAAUGCGUAGAGAUCUGGAGGAAUACCGGUGGCGAAGGCGGCCCCCUGGACAAAGACUGACGCUCAGGUGCGAAAGCGUGGGGAGCAAACAGGAUUAGAUACCCUGGUAGUCCACGCCGUAAACGAUGUCUACUUGGAGGUUGUGCCCUUGAGGCGUGGCUUCCGGAGCUAACGCGUUAAGUAGACCGCCUGGGGAGUACGGCCGCAAGGUUAAAACUCAAAUGAAUUGACGGGGGCCCGCACAAGCGGUGGAGCAUGUGGUUUAAUUCGAUGCAACGCGAAGAACCUUACCUGGUCUUGACAUCCACGGAAGUUUUCAGAGAUGAGAAUGUGCCUUCGGGAACCGUGAGACAGGUGCUGCAUGGCUGUCGUCAGCUCGUGUUGUGAAAUGUUGGGUUAAGUCCCGCAACGAGCGCAACCCUUAUCCUUUGUUGCCAGCGGUCCGGCCGGGAACUCAAAGGAGACUGCCAGUGAUAAACUGGAGGAAGGUGGGGAUGACGUCAAGUCAUCAUGGCCCUUACGACCAGGGCUACACACGUGCUACAAUGGCGCAUACAAAGAGAAGCGACCUCGCGAGAGCAAGCGGACCUCAUAAAGUGCGUCGUAGUCCGGAUUGGAGUCUGCAACUCGACUCCAUGAAGUCGGAAUCGCUAGUAAUCGUGGAUCAGAAUGCCACGGUGAAUACGUUCCCGGGCCUUGUACACACCGCCCGUCACACCAUGGGAGUGGGUUGCAAAAGAAGUAGGUAGCUUAACCUUCGGGAGGGCGCUUACCACUUUGUGAUUCAUGACUGGGGUGAAGUCGUAACAAGGUAACCGUAGGGGAACCUGCGGUUGGAUCACCUCCUUACCUUAAAGAAGC